RNAcentral lists this ribosomal RNA (424 nucleotides) under Verrucomicrobiota bacterium. RNAcentral describes it as "Verrucomicrobia bacterium partial 16S ribosomal RNA". It matches the Rfam family "Bacterial small subunit ribosomal RNA", at positions 355 to 776 of the family's 1533-position model. The record is from RNAcentral. Lineage: Bacteria; Pseudomonadati; Verrucomicrobiota.
UGAGGAAUAUUGGUCAAUGGACGCAAGUCUGAACCAGCCAAGUAGCGUGCAGGAUGACGGCCCUAUGGGUUGUAAACUGCUUUUAUAUGGGGAUAAAGUGGGGAACGUGUUCCCUUUUGCAGGUACCAUAUGAAUAAGGACCGGCUAAUUCCGUUCCAGCAGCCGCGGUAAUACGGAAGGUUCGGGCGUUAUCCGGAUUUAUUGGGUUUAAAGGGAGCGUAGGCCGUUUGGUAAGCGUGUUGUGAAAUGUAGGAGCUCAACUUCUAGAUUGCAGCGCGAACUGUCAGACUUGAGUGCGCACAACGUAGGCGGAAUUCAUGGUGUAGCGGUGAAAUGCUUAGAUAUCAUGAAGAACUCCGAUUGCGAAGGCAGCUUAAGGGAGCGCAACUGACGCUGAAGCUCGAAGGUGCGGGUAUCGAACAGG